RNAcentral lists this ribosomal RNA (445 nucleotides) under uncultured bacterium. RNAcentral describes it as "bacterial SSU rRNA". It matches the Rfam family "Bacterial small subunit ribosomal RNA", at positions 355 to 822 of the family's 1533-position model. The record is from RNAcentral.
UCGGGAAUUUUGGGCAAUGGGCGAAAGCCUGACCCAGCAACGCCGCGUGAAGGAUGAAGUAUUUCGGUAUGUAAACUUCGAAAGAAUAGGAAGAAUAAAUGACGGUACUAUUUAUAAGGUCCGGCUAACUACGUGCCAGCAGCCGCGGUAAUACGUAGGGACCAAGCGUUGUUCGGAUUUACUGGGCGUAAAGGGCGCGUAGGCGGCAAUUCAAGUCAUCUGUGAAAUCUCCGGGCUUAACUCGGAACGGUCAGAUGAUACUGCUUUGCUAGAGUGCAGAAGGGGCAAUCGGAAUUCUUGGUGUAGCGGUGAAAUGCGUAGAUAUCAAGAGGAACACCUGAGGUGAAGACGGGUUGCUGGGCUGACACUGACGCUGAGGCGCGAAAGCCAGGGGAGCAAACGGGGAUUAGAUACCCCAGUAGUCCCUGAGCGGGCUGGCAAGGCG